Molecule: long non-coding RNA, 769 nt
Organism: Poecilia latipinna (sailfin molly)
Lineage: Eukaryota; Metazoa; Chordata; Actinopteri; Cyprinodontiformes; Poeciliidae
Exons: 3
Source: RefSeq, a predicted model, not a curated record
AGUAAUGCAACCCCACAAAUGGAUGUUUUUUUUUUUUCUUCUACGCCCGUACUUUGUGUUUCUGUCUGUGUGCAGUGAUGAUUGUGCAUGUCAAGGGCCCGUGCCGUCCUCAUUGAGUUUUCGUCGUCUCCUCUUUUUGUCCUGUCCUUAAGGCUGGCCAUGCUUGCACGAGCUUUUCAUCUCCAAUCGAUACCUAUUGAGCUGUUCAUGAAAGGGAAAUGACAGCUAGUUCAUAACUUCCAAGGCUGAUCAAUAAGUACCUGCAGUAGCUCAACUCCUUCCUGAAACACUCGUCUCUGCAAGAACUCCUCCACCUACAACCACCAUCUCAAAGAACAGCAUUCAGUACCUCCACAUGCCCUGAAGACCAGAGAAGAUGGCAUGGGAAACUUUGCAAUGUGCCAUGCUUACAUCAUGCCUGACCCCCCUCAGCACUGCACACAUACAGUGUUUUAUAACACCAACAGCAGUUGUAGGUGCGUCUUCCCUGGUGGUGAACAAAUGAGCAAAGGAAGAGAUUGGGGGGUCUCUGCAGCUCUAAAUAUGGGACCCCCACCAGUUUCUCCAUUCGGUUUCCACUGUGUUCAAAGGAUCAGGGAACCUCCCUCAUUUAUGGUAACCACUUUUAGAGAGCAAGCAGACAGACACCAACAUGGAGACCCAAAGAAGAAAUGUUUAUUGGUACUGUUUUGUUAUGCGAGCUACCUGCUCACCUUGAGAUCACUUCAUGUUUAAGUGACGCAGAUUUGAAGUUGCAGUAAACGCACAU